AUACGUAGGGGGCGAGCGUUGUCCGGAAUGAUUGGGCGUAAAGGGCGCGUAGGCGGCCCGGUAAGUCUGGAGUGAAAGUCCUGUUUUUAAGAUGGGAAUUGCUUUGGAUACUGUCGGGCUUGAGUGCAGGAGAGGUAAGUGGAAUUCCCAGUGUAGCGGUGAAAUGCGUAGAGAUUGGGAGGAACACCAGUGGCGAAGGCGGGUAACUGGACUGCAAAUGACGCUGAGGCGCGAAAGUGUGGGGAGCAAACAGGAUUAGAUACCCUGGUAGUCCACACUGUAAACGAUGAAUGCUAGGUGUAAGAGGUAUCGACCCCUUUUGUGCCGGAGUCAACACAAUAAGCAUUCCGCCUGGGGAGUACGGCCGCAAGGUUGAAACUCAAAGGAAUUGACGGGG
This 397-nucleotide ribosomal RNA is filed under the name uncultured bacterium. RNAcentral describes it as "partial 16S ribosomal RNA". It matches the Rfam family "Bacterial small subunit ribosomal RNA", at positions 523 to 918 of the family's 1533-position model. The record is from RNAcentral.